AGCAGUCGCCGCGGGAAAACGAAGGGUGCAAGCGUUACUCGGAAUUACUGGGCGUAAAGCGUGCGUAGGUGGUGGUUUAAGUCCGUUGUGAAAGCCCUGGGCUCAACCUGGGAAUUGCAGUGGAUACUGGGUCACUAGAGUGUGGUAGAGGAUAGUGGAAUUUCCGGUGUAGCAGUGAAAUGCGUAGAGAUCGGAAGGAACAUCUGUGGCGAAGGCGACUAUCUGGGCCAACACUGACACUGAGGCACGAAAGCGUGGGGAGCAAACAGGAUUAGAUACCCCCGUAGUCCCUGUCUCUUAUAC
This 303-nucleotide ribosomal RNA is filed under the name uncultured bacterium. RNAcentral's name for it is "partial 16S ribosomal RNA". It matches the Rfam family "Bacterial small subunit ribosomal RNA", at positions 507 to 807 of the family's 1533-position model. The record is from RNAcentral.